CUUGGUCAUUUAGAGGAAGUAAAAGUCGUAACAAGGUUUCCGUAGGUGAACCUGCGGAAGGAUCAUUAAAGAGUAAGGGUGCUCAGCGCCCGACCUCCAACCCUUUGUCGUUAAAACUACCUUGUUGCUUUGGCGGGACCGCUCGGUCUCGAGCCGCUGGGGAUUCGUCCCAGGCGAGCGCCCGCCAGAGUUAAACCAAACUCUUGUUAUUUAACCGGUCGUCUGAGUUAAAAUUUUGAAUAAAUCAAAACUUUCAACAACGGAUCUCUUGGUUCUCGCAUCGAUGAAGAACGCAGCGAAAUGCGAUAAGUAAUGUGAAUUGCAGAAUUCAGUGAAUCAUCGAAUCUUUGAACGCACAUUGCGCCCCUUGGUAUUCCGAGGGGCAUGCCUGUUCGAGCGUCAUUACACCACUCAAGCUAUGCUUGGUAUUGGGCGUCGUCCUUAGUUGGGCGCGCCUUAAAGACCUCGGCGAGGCCACUCCGGCUUUAGGCGUAGUAGAAUUUAUUCGAACGUCUGUCAAAGGAGAGGAACUCUGCCGACUGAAACCUUUAUUUUUCUAGGUUGACCUCGGAUCAGGUAGGGAUACCCGCUGAACUUAAGCAUAUCAAUAAGCGGAGGA
This 619-nucleotide ribosomal RNA is filed under the name Aureobasidium pullulans. RNAcentral's name for it is "eukaryotic LSU rRNA". The stretch from base 249 to 402 matches the Rfam family "5.8S ribosomal RNA". Lineage: Eukaryota; Fungi; Ascomycota; Dothideomycetes; Dothideales; Saccotheciaceae. The record is from RNAcentral.